GGCCAUAUCAUGCUGAAACACCAGUUCAUGUAUGAUCACUGAAGUUAAGCAACAUCAAGACAGUUCAGUAUCUAGAUGGGUGACCACUUGGAAAUACUAGGUGCUGUAAU
Acanthosepion pharaonis is the source of this 110-nucleotide non-coding RNA. Lineage: Eukaryota; Metazoa; Mollusca; Cephalopoda; Sepiida; Sepiidae. The record is from the annotation of a GenBank genome assembly.